GCCCGGAUGGUGGAAAGGUAGACACAGGGGCCUUAAAAGCCCCUUUCCGUUUCGGAAGUGCCGGUUCGAGCCCGGCUCCGGGCA
This 84-nucleotide transfer RNA is filed under the name Deltaproteobacteria bacterium. Its description in RNAcentral is "tRNA-Leu". It matches the Rfam family "tRNA". Rfam says of the family: Transfer RNA (tRNA) molecules are approximately 80 nucleotides in length. The record is from RNAcentral. Lineage: Bacteria; Pseudomonadati; Myxococcota; Myxococcia.